This 531-nucleotide ribosomal RNA is filed under the name Chloroflexota bacterium. Its description in RNAcentral is "bacterial SSU rRNA". It matches the Rfam family "Bacterial small subunit ribosomal RNA", at positions 1 to 559 of the family's 1533-position model. Lineage: Bacteria; Bacillati; Chloroflexota. The record is from RNAcentral.
UAGCUGGAGAGUAUGAUCCUGGCUCAGGGUGAACGCUGGCGGCGUGCCUAAUGCAUGCAAGUUGAGCGCCUCGCUUCGGCGGGGAGCAGCGAACGGCUGAGGAACGCGUAGGUGACCUGCCCUUCGGUGGGGGACAACUCCGGGAAACCGGUGCUAAUACCGCAUACGACCUUCCGGUUGCGGCCGGAAGAGGAAAGUCGCAAGACGCCGAGGGAGGGGCCUGCGUCCCAUCAGGUAGUUGGUGGGGUAAUGGCCUACCAAGCCGACGACGGGUAGCUGGUCUGAGAGGAUGAUCAGCCAGAGGGGGACUGAGACACGGCCCCCACUCCUACGGGAGGCAGCAGCAGGGGAUCUUGGGCAAUGGGCGAAAGCCUGACCCAGCGACGCCGCGUGGGGGAUGAAGGCCUUUGGGUCGUAAACCCCUUUUCCAGGGGACGAUAAUGACGGUACCUUGGGAAUAAGCCCCGGCUAACUACGUGCCAGCAGCCGCGGUAAAACGUAGGGGGCAAGCGUUACCCGGAAUUACUGGGC